RNAcentral lists this long non-coding RNA (1084 nucleotides) under Meriones unguiculatus (Mongolian gerbil). RNAcentral describes it as "lncRNA (ENSMUGG00000008946.1)". Lineage: Eukaryota; Metazoa; Chordata; Mammalia; Rodentia; Muridae. The record is from RNAcentral.
CCAUCUGGGAGGGACCUCAGCGAUUCCAUCUACUCUGAUAGCUGAAAGCAGAUCCUGGGGUUAUGGAUCAACACCAGUCAUGGACAUGGGACUUUCCUGGGAAUGGCUUUAAGUGCAGGAAGGCCAGGUCCCUCCGGUGAUCCAACCUACACACUGACCUCCUGCCCUGAAGGCAGAGAAGCCACAGUGGUAGACGCAAGUCUGUCCUGAACAGGCUACAGACACAGCUAGAACCCAACCAGCUCAGCAGGCUGCCUGCAAGGCUGCAGUUAAGACAUGCCUCUCGCUGAGGAGGAGCCCAGGAUCUUGGGCAUGCUGAAGAACUCAGCCUACACCCUAGAGUGUAGACCUUUGGAGGGGAAGUGCUCCGGGAAGCAAGCCAUGAUGCAGGGCAGGACCUCGGGAGGGGACAGAACUGCCAGGGCUCAACCCAAGAGACGGUGGGUUAGUGCUGGGCCACACUUGGGUGGGGUGAGGUGGGGAAAGGAGGAAGGGUCUGCUAGCCUACAGGUACCACAACCCUGAAAGGAGCGCCUUCUAGAACAAAGGUAGAGUCACUAGGACAGGUCUGGUGGGGUUCUCCUUUCUUCUUCGAGUAGGAUAGUGAUCUAAAGGGCAUCAUAAAGUGUUGAACAUAAGGGAAAAAAAACAAAGGGGGAAAAUGAGAAUUUCAAUUUCUGAAGUAACAGCAAUUUAUCCAUUAUACUACUGUAUUAUGCAAAUCAACCUUUUGGAAAAUUUAGACACAGAAGAGAACUGUCUAGUUCAGUUUCCCCUCUGGAGAGAUGAAAAGCUUUUUGGCUCUUAAGUCUGUGAUAAAAGGCGUACAUAAUUCUUGUGUCUACUGUACAGAAUACUGCCGCUAGCUGAACUUCCAGAUUUGAGUCUAACACUCUGUAACCCAGACAGGGCUCAACCCUCCACCAUGCACGCCUGCGUUAGAGGACUUAAACACACAAUCCAGGAAUUCCUUACACUAAUUUAUACAUUUUAAUUGGUUGCAUAUAUUAACAUGUACUAUAAGAUUCUUUUCUAAGAAGCAUUACAUAAUAAAUGGAUACUGUAAAAAGAUCUGAUUAGUUAA